GGGAUUAGAUACCCCACUAUGCACAGCCCUAAACUUUGAUAGAAUUUUACACUCUCUAUCCGCCAGGAUACUACGAGCCCUUGCUUAAAAUCCAAAGGACUUGGCGGUGCUUUAGACCCACCUAGAGGAGCCCGUUCUAGAACCGAUAAUCCUCGUUAAACCUCACCCUCCCUUGUUUAUAUACCGCCUAUAUACCGCCGUCAUUAGCCUACCCUGUGAAGGAUUUAUAGUGAGCAAAAGCAGUACAACUUAAAAUGUCAGGUCGAGGUGUAGCGUAUGAGAGGGGAAGAAAUGGGCUACAUUCCCUAGUUUAGGGAAUACGAAAAAUGUAAUGAAAAACACACUAGAAGGUGGAUUUAGAAGUAAGUAGAAAAUAGAGUGUUCUACUGAACCCGGCUCUGAAGCGUGCACACACCGCCCGU
Molecule: ribosomal RNA, 422 nt
Filed under: Strongylura marina (Atlantic needlefish)
Lineage: Eukaryota; Metazoa; Chordata; Actinopteri; Beloniformes; Belonidae
Description: partial 12S ribosomal RNA
Rfam family: Bacterial small subunit ribosomal RNA
Source: RNAcentral